This is a long non-coding RNA of Rhinichthys klamathensis goyatoka, 696 nucleotides long. RefSeq lists it as uncharacterized. The transcript has 4 exons. Lineage: Eukaryota; Metazoa; Chordata; Actinopteri; Cypriniformes; Leuciscidae. The record is from RefSeq and is a predicted model, not a curated record.
ACGGGACGUGUGGAAACGGAGCUCAGGAGCAACAAACACGUGGCUAGAAUGUCCCAUAACUUCAUUUUAGACUCAGUUCCUUUGGGGGAAGCUGCAACAGUGCAAAGCUUUACAAAACUUCUCUUGCGCAUGCAUCCAUGGAAUUGAGUCUGAGAUGCACGGCAACAGUUGCUAAGGUUGCACUAAUUGGAGGAGGAAGUGCCGGGGAUGUUUAGCACUGACGGGGCUUGAGGACCAGGACUUGAUCCGAGCCUGAAUUGGAUCCUGUUUCGGCCUCCAAUUCCUCCAGUUAAUCCGGCAGCGGCUGCAGGGAAGCAAGCGUUCAUUCGACCGCAGAAAACCGAGUUGGCAGCACCUGCAAAAGGAGGAUCAAAGAGGCCAGAGUUAAGCCACCUACUGGAUCCGUGUCACACUAUAUCCUCGGGAUACUGUGUCGAUCUCAGUGGCCACAGCAGCUGGUCAGCUGGACACCAGUGGAUCAUGUUUGGCUGUGAGAUCCUCUCGGAAAUCAAGGCUUCUCAAGGUGCUGGAUUGGUGUCACCAUGUCCCGGAGCUGAAUAUCGUGUUGACGGACAUCUCUAGAAACCCUCAAUCAUUUUUUACACAUCACUUUAACAACUGAAGGCAUGGCCUUUCACAGAAAGACCCGGCAGAGAAUAGAAAGAAAGAGAAGGAGGUUUUCAAAAGAGAAACGGG